AAAUUGAAGAGUUUGAUCAUGGCUCAGAUUGAACGCUGGCGGCAGGCCUAACACAUGCAAGUCGAACGGUAGCACAGAGAGCUUGCUCUCGGGUGACGAGUGGCGGACGGGUGAGUAAUGUCUGGGAAACUGCCUGAUGGAGGGGGAUAACUACUGGAAACGGUGGCUAAUACCGCAUAAUGUCGCAAGACCAAAGAGGGGGACCUUCGGGCCUCUUGCCAUCAGAUGUGCCCAGAUGGGAUUAGCUAGUUGGUGAGGUAACGGCU
This 266-nucleotide ribosomal RNA is filed under the name Salmonella enterica subsp. enterica serovar Zanzibar. RNAcentral's name for it is "partial 16S ribosomal RNA". It matches the Rfam family "Bacterial small subunit ribosomal RNA", at positions 1 to 265 of the family's 1533-position model. The record is from RNAcentral. RNAcentral also lists the same sequence under 1 other name. Lineage: Bacteria; Pseudomonadati; Pseudomonadota; Gammaproteobacteria; Enterobacterales; Enterobacteriaceae.